GGCCUACCAUGGUGGUAACGGGUAACGGGGUGUUAGGGCACCACACCGGAGAGGGAGCCUGAGAAACGGCUACCACAUCCAAGGAUGGCAGCAGGCGCGCAAAUUACCCAAUCCCGACACGGGGAGGUAGUGACAAUAAAUAACAAUACGGGGUUCUUUAGGAUCUCGUAAUUGGAAUGAGUACAAUUUAAAUCUCUUAACGAGGAACAAUUGGAGGGCAAGUCUGGUGCCAGCAGCCGCGGUAAUUCCAGCUCCAAUAGCGUAUAUUAAAGUUGUUGCAGUUAAAAGGCUCGUAGUUGAAUUUCGGGGUUAGUAAGUUGGUCAUGCCUUUGGUAUGCACUGGCUUUACUGAUUCCUCCUUCUUGACGAACCAUGAUGUCAUUAAUUUGGUGUUGCGGGAAAUCAGGACUGUUACUUUGAAAAAAUUAGAGUGUUUAAAGCAGGCUAACGCUUGAAUACAUUAGCAUGGAAUAAUGAAAUAGGACGUUAAUCCUAUUUUGUUGGUUUCUAGGAUCGACGUAAUGAUUAAUAGGGAUAGUUGGGGGCAUUAGUAUUCAAUUGUCAGAGGUGAAAUUCUUGGAUUUAUUGAAGACUAACUACUGCGAAAGCAUUUGCCAAGGAUGUUUUCAUUAAUCAAGAACGAAAGUUAGGGGAUCGAAGACGAUCAGAUACCGUCGUAGUCUUAACCAUAAACUAUGCCGACUAGGGAUCGGAUGAUGUUAAUUUUAUAAUGACUCAUUCGGCGCCUUACG
RNAcentral lists this ribosomal RNA (752 nucleotides) under uncultured Glomus. RNAcentral describes it as "SSU rRNA". It matches the Rfam family "Eukaryotic small subunit ribosomal RNA", at positions 338 to 1092 of the family's 1831-position model. Lineage: Eukaryota; Fungi; Glomeromycota; Glomeromycetes; Glomerales; Glomeraceae. The record is from RNAcentral.